CCCUUAGAUGUCCGGGGCCGCACGCGCGCUACACUGAAGGAAUCAGCGUGGCUUUCUCCCUGACCCGAAAGGGUUGGGAAACCCGUUGAAUCUCCUUCGUGAUAGGGAUUGGGGCUUGAAAUUGUUCCCCAUGAACGAGGAAUUCCCAGUAAGCGCGAGUCAUAAGCUCGCGUUGAUUACGUCCCUGCCCUUUGUACACACCGUCCGUCGCUACUACCGAUUGAACGGUUUAGUGAGGGCCUCGGAUUGGUCUCGGCCCGCUCUUUACCGGGCGGCGCCGUUGGUCGAGAAGACGCUCGAACUUGAUCGUUUAGAGGAAGUAAAAGUCGUAACA
This 334-nucleotide ribosomal RNA is filed under the name uncultured eukaryote. Its description in RNAcentral is "partial 18S ribosomal RNA". It matches the Rfam family "Eukaryotic small subunit ribosomal RNA", at positions 1470 to 1796 of the family's 1831-position model. The record is from RNAcentral.